This 356-nucleotide long non-coding RNA is filed under the name Capsicum annuum. RNAcentral's name for it is "long non-coding RNA (CANN_LNC012178)". The record is from RNAcentral. Lineage: Eukaryota; Viridiplantae; Streptophyta; Magnoliopsida; Solanales; Solanaceae.
GUAAUUGAUGUAUAAUCUAAAGGACAAUCUUAAUAUGAACACCACCACAACAACAUAUUUAGUAUAAACUCACAAAGUGAGGUCUGAAAAGAAAUAAAGUUCACGCAGUGUAAUCCUUACUUUGGAGGUACAAAGGUUGUUUCUCAGACCCUCACCCACCUAAAAAGAAAUAGAGAUGAGAAACUUGUUGGGAAAAUCGGGCAAUUUUUCCACUAAUAACAAAAACAACCAAAAAUAUCCGAUAAAUAAUAUUGAAUACUAAAAAUAAAGACACCUAAAAAUUUGAUAAUGGAGUUCAGCCAAUUAGGCUUGAUCUCCGAGCACCCAAUGUUUUUAUCAAUUGUGGGAGAAGAGAA